GGCGGAUUAGCCAACUUACUUGGCUC
This 26-nucleotide transfer RNA is filed under the name Passiflora vitifolia. RNAcentral describes it as "partial tRNA-His". Lineage: Eukaryota; Viridiplantae; Streptophyta; Magnoliopsida; Malpighiales; Passifloraceae. The record is from RNAcentral.